UUUGGUGCUAGGGUAAGGUUUAAGGUUUUGGCGUUAGGAUUUAAAUCACUGUCCAAAACGUUUGUAGGAACUAUUUUCCAAGCUUUUGGAGUUAGUUAGACCAAAAAGAAAUGAAAAAUGAAAAAAAAAUAUUUGUGGUGUUCGGGCUUCCUGAAGAUAAUACACGGGUAUUAGAUUUUGGGGCUAGGGAAAGGUUUAAGGUUUUUGGCGUUAGGGUUAAAAUCACUGUCCAAAACCUUUGUAGGAACUCUUUUCCAACCAUUUGGAGUUAGUUAGACCAAAUAAAAAUGAAAAAUGAAAAAAAAAUAUUUUGCUUGUUUUGGCUUCCUGAAGAUAAUGCACGGGUAUUAGGUUUUGGGGCUAGGGUAAGGUUUAAGGUUUUUGGCGUUAGGGUUAAAAUCACUGUCCAAAACCUUUGUAGGAACUAUUUUCCAAGCUUUGGGAGUUAGUUAGACCAAAAAGAAAUGAAAAAUGAAAAAAAAAUAUUUGGGGUUUUCGGGCUUCCUGAAGGUAAUACCCGGGUAUUAGGUUUUGGGGCUAGGGGAAGGUUUUAGGUUUUUGGCGUUAGGGUUAAAAUGACUGUCCAAAACCUAUUUAGGAACAUGUUUCAGACCUUUUGGAGUUGGUUACACCAAAUGAAAUAAAAAAAUUGAAAAAAAAUAUUUGGGGUGUUCAGGCUUCCUGAAGGUAAUACCCAGGAGUUUUGGGGCGAUGGUAAGGUUUAAGGUUUUUGGCGUUAGGGUUAAAAUCACUGUCCAAAACCUUUGUAGGAACUCUUUUCCAACCUUUUGGAGUUAGUUAGACCAAAUAAAAAUGAAAAAUGAAAAAAAAAAUAUUUGGGGUGUUUGGGCUUCCUGAAGAUAAUGCACAGGUAUUAAGAGUUGGGGCUAGGGUAAGGUUUAAGGUUUUGGCGUUAGGGUUUAAAUCACUGUCCAAAACCUUUGUAGGAACUGUUUUCCAACCUUUGGGAGUUAGUUAGACCAAAUAAAAAUGAAAAAUGAAAAAAAAAUAUUUGGGGUGUUUGGGCUUCCUGAAGGUAAUACACGGGUAUUAGGUUUUGGGGCUAGGGAAAGGUUUAAGGUUUUUGGCGUUAGGGUUAAAAUCACUGUCCAAAACCUUUGUAGGAACUCUUUUCCAACCAUUUGGAGUUAGUUAGACCAAAUAAAAAUGAAAAAUGAAAAAAAGAUAUUUGGCUUGUUUGGGCUUCCUGAAGAUAAUGCACGGGUAUUAGGUUUUGGGGCUAGGGUAAGGUUUAAGGUUUUUGGCGUUAGGGUUAAAAUCACUGUCCAAAAACUUUGUAGGAACUAUUUUCCAAGCUUUGGGAGUUAGUUAGACCAAAAAGAAAUGAAAAAUGAAAAAAAAAUAUUUGGGGUUUUCGGGCUUCCUGAAGGUAAUACCCGGGUAUUAGGUUUUGGGGCUAGGGGAAGGUUUAAGGUUUUUGG
This is a non-coding RNA of Xyrichtys novacula (pearly razorfish), 1442 nucleotides long. NCBI's taxonomy places the organism in Eukaryota, Metazoa, Chordata, Actinopteri, Labriformes, Labridae. The record is from the annotation of a GenBank genome assembly.